Molecule: long non-coding RNA, 2953 nt
Organism: Oryzias latipes (Japanese medaka)
Lineage: Eukaryota; Metazoa; Chordata; Actinopteri; Beloniformes; Adrianichthyidae
Source: RefSeq, a predicted model, not a curated record
UACAGAGCGGUUUGGACCUAUUUGGACCUGAUCUCCUGACCCUGUUUCUGUUUGCCUGGACUUUUAGCUGAGCCAAUAAACCUGCUGCAUUUGGAAUCAGUCGUCUGCCUGUAUCUUAUGACAACUGCUGUGUUUUACUGUUUUGCUUGUAUUCCAUGUUUUUAUGACAAUCCUUGUACUUUUUACCUUUAAUUAUUUUAACCUCUUUGUUUUUGAGGUUUUAUUGUAUGGCGCCUUGUUUGACUGCAGCUAUAUUAAGGCACCAUUGAAGUAAUUAAACUUGAACUUAAACGCUGAACCACUUCAUGAAUUGCUGGAGCAUUACAGGUACUGUUGUCAGGGGUCUUGCAGAUACUUACUGUUCUUCAACGGUUUGUGAAUGGAUUAAAUAAAGUUUGAUUUAGUUUAUUUUUUUUAACUUUACGACACACUAACCUUUUCCUUUACGUUAUUUUAUUAAAUGAAUUUUUUUUAUUUUUCUUUAAACCUAGAACCACGAUGGAGGGGAAUAGCCACAUGCGGCUCCGGAGUCGCAGAUUGCAGAUCUUUUAGAUUCCAAAUUAAAUUAAUUUAGAAUCCACUUGAAAGCAAAAACACACAUGAAAUGUUCUUUUUUUCAUAGCUGGAAAUAAACGUAGGCAUCAGGGGGUUAAUAAAAGAUUAAAAACAACAUGUAUGCACGAAUGCCACAUUGUGUGUCGAUUAGACUAUGUCAAACUGCAUUAUGUGAGAGUUGUGUUACAUAUUGAGACUCAAUAUGCUUUAACUGGAAAUGAACAUGUUUUCUCUACUUUAUUUUUAGUUCAUAGCUCUGAAAUACUGAAAAACUGAUCAAAAUGCAAACAAAAACACACAAUGAUUCAUAUUUUGUCAGUAUUGUGACCCAUGCCCACCGCUUAAUCCAAUACCAUGCAUGUAAAUGUUAGAGAUGUUUUGUGUUGAACAUGUUACGUCAUCCUUGCUUUUGUUAAGUUGUUUGGUUUCCUCUAAAAAAGAUGGGGAUGUAGGGCUGCAUUUUGCAGCAUAACUGCCUGAAACAUGCAGUCAUGUCUCUGUGCUUUUUUUUGCACAGCCAAAAACCAGUUCCUGCUUCGAGCCAGCAGCCAACAAGCAGUCGUCACGUUUCAGCCAAAGGCGGUGGCGCAGAAAUGAGUUUGCGCUGUCAACACACUGUCACUUUGAAGUGCAAUAGAUGAGCCAUUUCAUUCGUUCGCAUGCGCCCAGACGCAGGGACUUUGCACCAAACAAAGGCGUUGAACAGCUCUGUAAGGCUGCCUGUACUGAUUUAAAAUGCAGCUAUAAUCAAUAACAUCACGCGCGCGCAAACAGCUUGGAUGCACUUGACAUACAUACGCCGAAAAACCCGAAUAAGGAAGUUCGUCGACCCCUCAGACUCCGUCAGAAAAUCUCUAACAUGCUGCGCUGUGCGCCACAGCGGAAGAGCGCACCAGAACAAACCACAGAAAAGCUGCAACAGACAAACAGAAAACUGCAAGUGCGCGGAACCGAGCAGAGUUCACAAGUUUCACCUACCUAUCAGUUCUGCCACCGCGCUGAACGGCCAGGUGUGACUUGUGGAGUUGCUGUUCAGGAAGGAGGGACUCAUCUGGACAAAUCGGAACAAGGCCACCGCUCGGAGGGGAGCUGGGGGCCAGACCGCUAUGGAAUGGGGAAGCAACCUGAUCGGGCCUCCUGAACUUUAUAUUUUUCUUAUAUUCAUCGUAACAAUAAUAAAAAAGGUGCUCUGAUUUUAUUCUUGUUUUUAAUUCUGCCCUCUCGGGUUAACGUAACUAGGACAGCAAGCCUUCAAACUUGGUCAGAGAGAGAUGGAAACAGCGUGGAAACGUCCAUUUUUCAGACACAGCAGUGGGAGUGAAGAUCACUGUAGACUCUAAAUGAUCUUAAGAACCCAGACGUGGAGACAUGAAUAUCAAGGUGGCAAGCAAAGCGAAAGAGGGGCGGCUGAUCUCCCAUCACCACAAUCGACCAGCACAGCCACUACACAACGGCGGACACGCCAUCAAUCUGCCCGUCAAUCUCACGCUCCAAUUUUUCCUCAGUUGUGAACAAGACCCCAAGUUAUUUAAACGUUUCCAGCUUGGGCAGUAGCACUCCACCAACUAUGGUCGCAGACUUAGCAGUCGCAGACAUCCCAGCUUCAUACUUGGGCACAAACCUUCCAAAUGCAGGCCUGACUUACUGCCGGCUAAGCAAAGCAAGCUUCUGCUCUGGUCAUUAAUAGACCGGACAGCCCUCAGUGAGGCUCCCCGUAACCCAUACUCCCAAAACACCCUCCAGGAUACCACAGGGAUUGCGGUUGAAUGCUUUCUUCAAAUCCACAGAGCACAUAUGGAUUGGUUGAGCUAACUCCCACGAACCCUCCAGCACCCUAAAGAGGGUGUAGAGCUGCUGCACUGUUCGACCAUCAGACAAACUCUCUUCUUCAGAACUCUGGCAUAUACUUGCAGGGAGGAUAAGGAAUUUGAUUGCCUGAUAGUUGGAACACACCCUCCAGUGUUCAUUCUUAAAAAGGGGAACCACCAUCCCUGUCAAGACACUUCCACAGCAUCCCUGGCUUUAGGCACUCAGGGCGGGCUUCAUCCACUCCCACAGCUCCGAACAGCAGCAGAGAGAAUAGAGGUGGAGAACACAGUCCACUCUGACUCAAUGUCUCCAUCCUACCUGGGUGUCCAGGAAGUGGAAAUAACUUAUUGAUGUGCUUUUGUUGCAAUAGUUUGUAUUUUAUUGCACUUGAUUUCAAGCACUUUGAUUUGUAUAUGUUGACAUGAAAGGUGCUCUAACAAUUAAGUGGACAGACAUACAGACAAAGAUAGAAAUGCCACCAAACUAAAAUGGAUCUAAAAAAAAAGUUUAAAGGGAUCAUAACAAACAAUGCAGACACGCUGCAUCACCUUUUUGGAUCAACAGAUAAAAAUCUUAUACCAAAUCUUGA